UUUUUUUUUUUUUUUUUUCAUUAACACAGAUUUGCACUUUAUUGUAAUUUUGCAUCCUGAGAUAAUAAAAUUUAAUAUCUGACAAGUGAACAACGACAGAAGCAGCAGUGAUUGUUUCAGAGAGGCAGGUAUCCUUCAUUUUGGCACAGCUGUAUAUAGGUUGAGUUCUUCCAGGGAGUCGCUCCCAAAAUCAAGGGAGAAAAAUGARUUCAUUCCACAGGCUAUACAAUACAAGAUGCAUUGAAAGUUCUUGGSUUAARUGGACAUAUUCACUUUUAUCCUUCUGGUAAACUGUCCCAGCAGGAAUCCUCUGUCAAAAAGGGCAGAGAUCCUAGGCUUUUCAAAUAGCUGUUUUGAUCAAUGCCCACCUUCUCACUAGCAGGAUUUUCUAUUUUUGCAGCUGAGACUCAUAUAUUUGUACAUGGUUAGUCUAAGGAUGGCAAACUAACUUGUAGAUUAUAUAAUUUCAAACAUUUGGUAACGUGCUUAAAAGUCCAAGCAUUAAAAGAAUUUUAUACUUUUUGCUUACUAUAAAAAUGAAAAAUUUAAAAAAUUAAGCA
RNAcentral lists this small RNA (560 nucleotides) under Sus scrofa (pig). Its description in RNAcentral is "sTF30376". The record is from RNAcentral. Lineage: Eukaryota; Metazoa; Chordata; Mammalia; Artiodactyla; Suidae.